This 885-nucleotide unclassified non-coding RNA is filed under the name Hevea brasiliensis (rubber tree). Lineage: Eukaryota; Viridiplantae; Streptophyta; Magnoliopsida; Malpighiales; Euphorbiaceae. The record is from RNAcentral.
UGCUUUGAAAAAAAAAAAAUCCCUUUCCAAGUGUAGAUUUUAAAUACGCCAAAAUACGAAAGACAACUUCUACGUGAGGUUUUUGAGGAUUAUGCAUAUAUUGGAUCACUAGGCUUACAACACAUACUAUGUCUGGUUUAGUAUGAGGGAGAUAAUUCAAUCUCCCAACUAACCUCUGAUAUCUUCCUAUGUCAAUUGCCUCCCCAAUUCCAACUUGCAGCUUGUGAUUAGUUUCAAUAGGAGAUUCUACUGACUUACAGCCCAACAUAUCUGUCUCAUCUAAGAGGUCUAAUAUGUACUUCCUUUGAGAAAUAAAAAUUUCUUUAUCUGAUCUAGCAACCUCUAUUCCAAGAAAGUAUCUCAGUUUUCCCAAUUCUUUAAUCUCAAACUCUUGUGCUGGGCAUUGCUUCAGAUUUGUAAUUUCUUCCUCAUCAUCUUCUAUCACUGCUAUAUCAUCCACAUAAAUAAUAAAUAAUGUGAUCUUACCUUUACAAUAUUUUAUAAAUAAAGUGUGAUCAAUAUUACUCUGACCGAAGCCAAAGGAGAUCAAAACCUUGUUGAAUCCGUCAAAUCAUAUCCUAGAAGACUGCUGUAGGCCAUAUAAAGCCUUUUUCAAUCUACAAACCUUCCUUUUGGUUUUUUUCAUCAUCGAAUCUUGGAGGUAUUUUUAUAUACACUUUUUCCUCUAAGUCUCUAUGCGAAAAAGCAUUCUUGACAUCGAAUUGCUGCAAAAUUCCAAUCAAGAUUUGCUGCACAGAACAAUAAAAUCCUAAUGGUGGAGAGAGAAGUAAUAAUCCCUUUGAUGUAGGGAUAGAGAUUCCAACAAUAGGUUUUCUCUAUACAUAAAAUUCUCUUAUCACUUUUUAGCUUUUGGCUCCAUGGUUC